Molecule: long non-coding RNA, 517 nt
Filed under: Olea europaea subsp. europaea
Lineage: Eukaryota; Viridiplantae; Streptophyta; Magnoliopsida; Lamiales; Oleaceae
Source: RNAcentral
CUAGUGUUCGUGGAGACUGCGCUCCCUGAAAGAGCAGCUACAGAGCAGAUGGUAGCUAAAUCGGCCCGUCGACUAAGAGCAUCAGCAACAUGAUUACUAGAGCCGGGACGAUACUCUAACAUAAAAUUGAACUCCGAAAGGAAUUCCUGCCAACGAGCCUGUUUACUCGACAGUUUUGGCUGGGACAUAAAGUGACUAACUGCAGUGUUAUCUGUCUUCACAAUAAAUGGAGACCCAAGCAGAUAGUGACGCCAUCCUCUGAGACAAUGGACAACUGCUAACAAUUCCUUUUCAUGUGCCGAGUAACGACGUUCUGUCUGGUUUAACUUUCGGCUCUCAUAUGCUACCGGAUGUCCUUCUUGCAUGAGGACUCCACCAAGGGCAAAAUCUGAAGCAUCUGUAUGAACUUCGAAUGGUUUAGCCAUAUCCGGUAAGGCUAAAAUCGGGUUCGUCCACAUGGACUUCUUCAACCUUUCAAAAGCAGCUUGGCAUUGGGAUGACCAAUCCCAAUCCUUAU